CCAGACAACUAGGAUGUUGGCUUAGAAGCAGCCAUCAUUUAAAGAGUGCGUAAUAGCUCACUAGUCGAGUGACACUGCGCCGAAAAUGUACCGGGGCUAAACAUAUUACCGAAGCUGUGGAUUGUCCUUUGGACAAUGGUAGGAGAGCGUUCUAAGGGCGUCGAAGCAUGAUCGCAAGGACAUGUGGAGCGCUUAGAAGUGAGAAUGCCGGUGUGAGUAGCGAAAGACGGGUGAGAAUCCCGUCCACCGAUUGACUAAGGUUUCCAGAGGAAGGCUCGUCCGCUCUGGGUUAGUCGGGUCCUAAGCUGAGGCCGACAGGCGUAGGCGAUGGAUAACAGGUUGAUAUUCCUGUACCACCUAGUAUCGUUUUAAUCGAUGGGGGGACGCAGUAGGAUAGGCGAAGCGUGCUGUUGGAGUGCACGUCCAAGCAGUAAGGCUGAGUGUUAGGCAAAUCCGGCACUCAUAAGGCUGAGCUGUGAUGGGGAGAGGAAAUUGUUUCCUCGAGUCGUUGAUUUCACACUGCCGAGAAAAGCCUCUAGAUAGAUAACAGGUGCCCGUACCGCAAACCGACACAGGUAGUCAAGAUGAGAAUUCUAAGGUGAGCGAGCGAACUCUCGUUAAGGAACUCGGCAAAAUGACCCCGUAACUUCGGGAGAAGGGGUGCUCUUUAGGGUUCACGCCCAGAAGAGCCGCAGUGAAUAGGCCCAAGCGACUGUUUAUCAAAAACACAGGUCUCUGCUAAACCGUAAGGUGAUGUAUAGGGGCUGACGCCUGCCCGGUGCUGGAAGGUUAAGAGGAGUGGUUAGCUUCUGCGAAGCUACGAAUCGAAGCCCCAGUAAACGGCGGCCGUAACUAUAACGGUCCUAAGGUAGCGAAAUUCCUUGUCGGGUAAGUUCCGACCCGCACGAAAGGCGUAACGAUUUGGGCACUGUCUCAACGAGAGACUCGGUGAAAUCAUAGUACCUGUGAAGAUGCAGGUUACCCGCGACAGGACGGAAAGACCCCGUGGAGCUUUACUGUAGCCUGAUAUUGAAAUUCGGCACAGCUUGUACAGGAUAGGUAGGAGCCUUUGAAACGUGAGCGCUAGCUUACGUGGAGGCGUUGGUGGGAUACUACCCUAGCUGUGUUGGCUUUCUAACCCGCACCACUUAUCGUGGUGGGAGACAGUGUCAGGCGGGCAGUUUGACUGGGGCGGUCGCCUCCUAAAAGGUAACGGAGGCGCUCAAAGGUUCCCUCAGAAUGGUUGGAAAUCAUUCAUAGAGUGUAAAGGCAUAAGGGAGCUUGACUGCGAGACCUACAAGUCGAGCAGGGUCGAAAGACGGACUUAGUGAUCCGGUGGUUCCGCAUGGAAGGGCCAUCGCUCAACGGAUAAAAGCUACCCCGGGGAUAACAGGCUUAUCUCCCCCAAGAGUUCACAUCGACGGGGAGGUUUGGCACCUCGAUGUCGGCUCAUCGCAUCCUGGGGCUGUAGUCGGUCCCAAGGGUUGGGCUGUUCGCCCAUUAAAGCGGUACGCUAGCUGGGUUCAGAACGUCGUGAGACAGUUCGGUCCCUAUCCGUCGUGGGCGUAGGAAAUUUGAGAGGAGCUGUCCUUAGUACGAGAGGACCGGGAUGGACAUACCUCUGGUGUACCAGUUGUCGUGCCAACGGCAUAGCUGGGUAGCUAUGUAUGGACGGGAUAAGUGCUGAAAGCAUCUAAGCAUGAAGCCCCCCUCAAGAUGAGAUUUCCCAACUUCGGUUAUAAGAUCCCUCGAAGAUGACGAGGUUAAUAGGUUCGAGGUGGAAGCGUGGUGACACGUGGAGCUGACGAAUACUAAUCGAUCGAAGACUUAAUCAAUUUUUAAA
RNAcentral lists this ribosomal RNA (1843 nucleotides) under Staphylococcus epidermidis. RNAcentral's name for it is "bacterial LSU rRNA". It matches the Rfam family "Bacterial large subunit ribosomal RNA", at positions 1085 to 2925 of the family's 2925-position model. The record is from RNAcentral. Lineage: Bacteria; Bacillati; Bacillota; Bacilli; Caryophanales; Staphylococcaceae.